UACGGGGGGGGCAAGCGUUGUUCGGAAUUACUGGGCGUAAAGGGCGCGUAGGCGGCCUUCUAAGUCAGACGUGAAAUCCCUCGGCUCAACCGAGGAACUGCGUCUGAUACUGGAAGGCUUGAAUCCGGGAGAGGGAUGUGGAAUUCCAGGUGUAGCGGUGAAAUGCGUAGAUAUCUGGAGGAACACCGGUGGCGAAGGCGGCAUCCUGGACCGGUAUUGACGCUGAGGCGCGAAAAGCUAGGGGAGCAAACGGGG
Molecule: ribosomal RNA, 255 nt
Filed under: uncultured bacterium
Lineage: Bacteria
Description: partial 16S ribosomal RNA
Rfam family: Bacterial small subunit ribosomal RNA
Source: RNAcentral